RNAcentral lists this ribosomal RNA (637 nucleotides) under uncultured bacterium. Its description in RNAcentral is "bacterial SSU rRNA". It matches the Rfam family "Bacterial small subunit ribosomal RNA", at positions 607 to 1244 of the family's 1533-position model. The record is from RNAcentral.
GCUCAACCGAGGAAGUGCUUCGAAAACUGGUAAACUUGAGUGCAGAAGAGGAAAGUGGAACUCCAUGUGUAGCGGUGGAAUGCGUAGAUAUAUGGAAGAACACCAGUGGCGAAGGCGGCUUUCUGGUCUGUAACUGACGCUGAGAUUCGAAAGCAUGGGUAGCAAACAGGAUUAGAUACCCUGGUAGUCCAUGCCGUAAACGAUGAGUGCUAAGUGUUGGAGGGUUUCCGCCCUUCAGUGCUGCAGCUAACGCAUUAAGCACUCCGCCUGGGGAGUACGAUCGCAAGAUUGAAACUCAAAGGAAUUGACGGGGGCCCGCACAAGCGGUGGAGCAUGUGGUUUAAUUCGAAGCAACGCGAAGAACCUUACCAGGUCUUGACAUACCAUGAAAAGCUUAGAGAUAAGUCUUUCCCUUCGGGGACAUGGAUACAGGUGGUGCAUGGUUGUCGUCAGCUCGUGUCGUGAGAUGUUGGGUUAAGUCCCGCAACGAGCGCAACCCUUAUUAUCAGUUGCCAGCAUUCAGUUGGGCACUCUGGUGAGACUGCCGGUGAUAAACCGGAGGAAGGUGGGGACGACGUCAAAUCAUCAUGCCCCUUAUGACCUGUGCUACACACGUGCUACAAUGGUCGGUACAACG